AGAACCACCGCCAGGUACACAAGUCACUGGACAAGGUGGGAAGGCAUCUUACUCAAUCAAUGGACCUUAUUCUAAAGCGGGAAGGGCACUGAGAGGAGGGUAUCUCUCAAAUGAGGAGUCUACGACCUGCUUCAGGGGAAGGCCAACAACUUCUUGGAUUUUAUGACCUGCUUCAGGGGAGAAGGACAAGGGAAGUACAGCGCCUACAACAAUGCAAAGGCUAGAAGGAAUGAAGGCAGGGACAUGGAAUGGAGAAUUUCCAUUUCACGGAUCCACAUAAACUGAAAAGGAACAAGAGUCGGUGAGACCAAAGAGCACUGAAGGCCAUGAACCACCACCAUUCUCAACCCCUGGGCCAGGCAAGAAAAGCCACGGUUCCUGGAAGGGAUGACGACAGGCUUACUGAAUUAUUUUCAUCCAUGCCCUUUUAAAAUAUGGUUGGUAGAAAUUUGCCAUUUGAGACUAGAAUCCCAUUCGGAAUCAUGUAAGUCUCUUUUGACUCCACGAGGACAUCUUUCACCCAGUUUUGGGAAAUCUGAGGAAUGGAUUCUUCUACAGACUGAUAAAAUAUCACAAGGUCCAAGAGUUUGUGUGAGAAAGAGGACAUCAAGUGAUGGAUGUGAACGUGGUAGACAUACAAUGGAAGGCAAGAAGGUAUCUCAACACAGCAGAACAAGACCCCAUGAGGAGCCCAGAAAAAAAAUAAAGAAGGUUCCUCACUGGUUAGGAAUUCAAAAGCAGUCCUGGCAACCUCAUAGCAUCUUUACCUCAGAAGCAGGCAGCUCUGGUUACUCCACCAUUUUCAGGAACAAGGUUUUUCUCUCCCCCUCUGCUGCAUUUCCUCUGCGGCUCCUGAUCCAUCUGCCUCUACCUUCUUCCUAGCAUCAAAUUUCCUCCCAGGAGACAACAUGAAUGGGUUAAGAAGUACCCAAUGAGGGCUGCUCCAACUGGACAGCAUCUUUGAAACUGGGACCUCACAGAUGGUCAUCACAGGCCCCUGAUGCCUGGGUACCCAGCGACCAACCCCAGUCUAGUCUGUCUAUAGCAACAUAGGUGAAGGGGAGUCUCAGGGGCUGCCUAAAGGGCUCAGAAUGUGGUGAGUACUUAAGACUGCAUGGAUUUUCACUGUUUACAUGAAUAUAGGACAAGUAUUCACAGAACUAUUAGCUAGAUCUGUGAACAAAACAUUAAUAACAUUGUAUGUCCAUGUCUGAACCCCUGAAAUUCCAACAACCACCACCCGCCUACCAACUUGCAGCAAACCGGCUCUCUCCACAGUCUUCCCCAGAUCAGGGAGAAACAAUUCCAUCCUUCCAGUACUCAGACUGUAAAACUGGAUUCAUUCUGAUUCCUCUCUCACACAUCCCACACCUGAUCUGACAGGAAAUCCUAUAAACUCUGCCAUUAAAAUAUAUCCAGAAACAGGCCAGGCACAAUGGCUCAUGCCUCUAAUCCCAGCACUUUGGGAGGUCGAGGCGGGCGGAUCAUGAGGUCAGGAGUUCGAGACCAGCUUGGCCUACAUGGCAAAACCCUGUCUCUACUAAAAAUACAAAAAUUAGCUAGGUGUGGUGAUGCACACCUGUAAUCCCAGCUACUUGGGAGGCUGAGCUAGGAGAAUCACUUGAACCCGGGAGGCACAGGCUGCAGUAAGCCAAGAUCGUGCCACUGCACUCCAGCCUGGGCGACAGAGUAAGACUCUGUCUCAAAAAAAAAAAAUAUAUAUAUAUAUAUAUAUAUGUCCAGUAAUGUGCAACUUUCACAGUCUCCACCAGGAUCAUCACAGUCUAACCACUGCUUCCUCCAGCCUGAACUUACUGCAAGAGGCCACUCACUGGUCUCCAGGCAUCCACUCUUGCUUCCCCCACGCACCCCACCACCAGUGUCUAUUCUCAACAGAGCAGCCAAAAUUGUCCUUUUAAACAUUGGUUGGAUUGUGUCUUCUGUCUGUUCAAAACUCUCCAGUAUGUCCACAUGGAUCUCAAAAUAAAACCAAAGUUCUGGCCAGGCACAGUGGUUCGUGUCUGUAAUCCCAGCACUUUGGGAGGCUGAGAAGGGAGGGUGGCUGGAGCCCAGGAAUUCAAGACCAGCCUGGGCAACAUGGCAAAACCCCAUCUCUCCAAAAAAUACAGAAAUUUG
This 2136-nucleotide long non-coding RNA is filed under the name Homo sapiens (human). RNAcentral describes it as "HSALNT0294293". The record is from RNAcentral. Lineage: Eukaryota; Metazoa; Chordata; Mammalia; Primates; Hominidae.